CCUACGGGUGACAGCAGUGGGGAAUAUUGCACAAUGGGGGAAACCCUGAUGCAGCGACGCCGCGUGGGUGACGAAGGAUUUCGGUAUGUUAAGCCCCAUCAGCAGGGAAGAAGAUGACAGUACCUGACUACGAAGCCCCGGCUAACUACGUGCCAGCAGCCGUGGUAAUACGUAGGGGGCAAGCGUUAUCCGGAGUUACUGGGUGUAAAGGGAGCGUAGGUGGCAUGGAAAGCCAGAAGGGAAAACCCGGGGCUUAACCCCGCGGAUUGCUUUUGGAACUGUCAGGCUGGAGUGCAGGAGGAGCAGGCGGAAUGCGUGGUGUAGCGGUGAAAUGCGUAGAUAUCAGGAGGAACACCGGUGGCGAAGGCGGCCUGCUGGACUGUAACUGACACUGAGGCUCGAAAGCGUGGGGAGCAAACAGGAUUAGAUACCCCAGUAGUC
RNAcentral lists this ribosomal RNA (441 nucleotides) under uncultured bacterium. Its description in RNAcentral is "partial 16S ribosomal RNA". It matches the Rfam family "Bacterial small subunit ribosomal RNA", at positions 338 to 795 of the family's 1533-position model. The record is from RNAcentral.